AGCCCCGCACCCCCAGCCCCAGCCCCGCGUGCAGCUCGCACCCCUUCCCACGCCUGUUCGGGGGAGAGCCCCGGGCCUGGAGUGGGAAGCCUGGCUCCAGCUCUGGUUACCUGCAGUGACUCCCCAGGCCGUUUAGGCGAGUCCAUUGGGCCGCCUCUGCCUCGGUUUCCCCACCUAACCACGGAAGGUGCUCCUCCCUUCCAGGCAUCUGUGGUCUUCGAGCUCCACGCGGGAGAGGCGCCGGUCUGGCACCUCCUGCCCAGGGUCGGCGCCUCCUGGCUCUCGGGGAGGGGGGCAUCCUCCAUCCCCUGCACCUGCCUCGAGAGGAACCAGGGACAGAGCACCCCCACCCCCACCAGGAGCUCCGGAAAAACGGCUUCAGAAGAGCAAAUAUACACACACACCCACCUCCCGCCCCAAACAUCCCCGAAGAAAGGUAACCACAGAAACAGCCAGAAAUGUGGAGCUGGGCGAUCGUAUGAGGCUGAGACAAAACUGUCUUUCUAGCGUCUCUAGGGGAGAGCUUGAAUCCCUCCUUCCACUCCUCCUCCACGGAAAACAGAGUGAACUCCUGCUACAGAGGCCGCCAGAGCAACAUGCAAGACCAGCUUUGAGGGGAGCGGGCACAGGGCCUUGCAGGGAAGGUGGGCCGAGCCCAGACCCCUCAUUCUUACUUGGCUCUGAAGGCGGAAAGGCAAAGCUAGACCUCGAGGAAGUUCCCCUCCCUGUGGGCCCUACAGUGAAGAUUACAUGAAGGCAUGUGGGCGGUGGACCAGAGUGCACCGACUGAUGAAGGCGGCCCGGUACCCGCGGGUGCCAUGCCUCCUUCUUAGCCAAGGCCACUCUAGCUCCCCGUGAAGUAUCCAGGUAGAAGGCUGGUGGGGUUACAGGAGUGUAUCUCUCUCAGAUGAGAUACAAGUUGGUCCCUUCCCUUGCGUCCCUCCUGUUCCUUCAAGAGGAGGACUGUCUACCCACCCCGAAGCUUCAUGGAGAGAGAGCACACCGUCGUUAUUCAAUAUGUAGUUUUGAAUUUAACUAGAGCAAAGAAGAAAGCAAAUUCAGGUGGAAGGAAGAAGAAAAGGGAAAAGGGCUGUCCCCAUCCUUCUAAGGAGAUGGUGCAGUGGCUCACCUUUGGGAGGCCGAGGCAGGCAGAUCACUUGAGCUCAGCAGUUUGAGACCAGCCUGGGUAACAUAGUGAAACCCCAUCUCUACAGAAAUUAAAAAAUUAGCCAGACAUGGCGGCGCACACCUGUGGUCCCA
This 1260-nucleotide long non-coding RNA is filed under the name Homo sapiens (human). RNAcentral describes it as "non-protein coding lnc-ODC1-2:9". The record is from RNAcentral. Lineage: Eukaryota; Metazoa; Chordata; Mammalia; Primates; Hominidae.